AGCAGCAAAAAAUCCUAAUGGUUUCAAAUAUACCGCUAUUAUUAGUGUUCGUUAAAAAAAAUAUAAUUAAUUAUAAGUAAAAUACUUAACCUUGAUUAGUGAGUGAGGUAAAUUAUCCUUCUUACUCUGAUAUUAUACCUUCUUCUUUCAUAUGAAAAUUCUAGUUCUAUCAAAACCCUAGCAAUAAGAACUCUUUUUUCUCUUCCUAUUCCACUUCCUCUCUCUUCUUCAUGCUAGUUUCGAACCAGUAACUAGGGUUUCUUCAUUCCCAUCCAUCAAUGACGCAUGUUACUUUGCCCAUGUCAAGCGUCGGGGAAUCAGCAGUAGAUAGGUAAAGGAAAAAAGUUGUGAGAGAAGAGGUACAGAAGAGAUUGCAUAAUAGUGGAUUGGGUUAAUUUUUAUAUAAAAGAUGAUGACCAGUGGGAAGCUUUGGGAGGACAUCAUUUUUGCACAAUUCUAAUAGUUAGGGCUUUUGGAAGAACAUAUUUGUGAUGACACAUUUUACCUAUCUUCUAUUAAAAAAUAAACAAUAAGUUAAUGGAAACAAAUCAGAUGGACAAAUAUGAACAUCAUCAGACUUUUGAAGAGAUAAAUCUGAAAACUUGAAUUUUGUAGUGAUAUAUUUGCUAUUCGAUAUGUUUAUAAGGAGCUGUAUGAAAUUAUCCCAAUAAAUUUUUUAUGAAAAGACCUUUUUUUUAUAUAUUUCAGUUAAGUUUUUUUUCUAAAUGAAAUAAACGAAGCGGGUAACAUGCUACCUAUCUCUCAAAAAAAAACUUUUCUUCAAAAAAAUGUUUUACUCUCUAUAUGCCUUGAGGAAACAUUAGGAAUGACUAGGGAUGUCAACAAGUCGGAUUCGGGGCGGAUUUUCAAAAAUCUGAACCCGAACCCGAACCCGACUACCAAAUUCGAAAUUCGAACUCGAACCCGAACCCGACGGAUUUUAAAAAUCCAUAUCUAAACCCGAAUCCGACCAGAAACCCGAAAUCCGAACCAGAACAGGAAAACCCGAACUCGAAUCCGGAACAAACCCGAAUCCGACCAAAAACCCGAAACCCCAUUUUUAACCUAAAAGUCCGAAGCCGAAAAUAAUAUUUAACAAAUUUUGAAACAUAUUAUACA
RNAcentral lists this long non-coding RNA (1119 nucleotides) under Ananas comosus (pineapple). RNAcentral's name for it is "long non-coding RNA (ACOM_LNC043255)". Lineage: Eukaryota; Viridiplantae; Streptophyta; Magnoliopsida; Poales; Bromeliaceae. The record is from RNAcentral.